CCUACGGGAUGCAGCAGUGAGGAAUAUUGGUCAAUGGGCGCGAGCCUGAACCAGCCAAGUAGCGUGAAGGAUGACUGCCCUACGGGUUGUAAACUUCUUUUAUAAAGGAAUAAAGUGAGGCACGUGUGCCUGUUUGUAUGUACGUUAUGAAUAAGGAUCGGCUAACUCCGUGCCAGCAGCCGCGGUAAUACGGAGGAUCCGAGCGUUAUCCGGAUUUAUUGGGUUUAAAGGGAGCGUAGAUGGGUUGUUAAGUCAGUGGUGAAAGUUUGCGGCUAAACCGUACAAUUGCAAUUGAUACUGUCCGCCUUGAGUACAGUUGCGGUCGGCGGAAUUCGUGGUGUCGCGGU
This 347-nucleotide ribosomal RNA is filed under the name uncultured bacterium. Its description in RNAcentral is "partial 16S ribosomal RNA". It matches the Rfam family "Bacterial small subunit ribosomal RNA", at positions 338 to 682 of the family's 1533-position model. The record is from RNAcentral.